GACGAACCGAGCGAACGUUGUUCGGAAUCACUGGGCUUAAAGGGCGCGUAGGCGGGCUGCCGCGUCCGGGGUGAAAUCCCACGGCUCAACCGUGGAACGGCCUCGGAUACGGGCGGCCUCGAGGGGGGUAGGGGCAUGCGGAACUGUGAGUGGAGCGGUGAAAUGCGUUGAUAUUCACAGGAACUCCGGUGGCGAAGGCGGCGUGGCUGGACCCCAUCUCGACGCUG
RNAcentral lists this ribosomal RNA (227 nucleotides) under uncultured bacterium. RNAcentral describes it as "partial 16S ribosomal RNA". It matches the Rfam family "Bacterial small subunit ribosomal RNA", at positions 524 to 748 of the family's 1533-position model. The record is from RNAcentral.